UACGUAGGGUGCGAGCGUUGUCCGGAAUUACUGGGCGUAAAGAGCUCGUAGGUGGUUUGUCGCGUUGUUCGUGAAAACUCACAACUCAAUUGUGGGCGUGCGGGCGAUACGGGCAGACUGGAGUACUGCAGGGGAGACUGGAAUUCCUGGUGUAGCGGUGGAAUGCGCAGAUAUCAGGAGGAGCACCGGUGGCGAAGGCGGGUCUCUGGGCAGUAACUGACGCUGAGGAGCGAAAGCGUGGGGAGCGAACAGG
RNAcentral lists this ribosomal RNA (253 nucleotides) under uncultured bacterium. RNAcentral describes it as "partial 16S ribosomal RNA". It matches the Rfam family "Bacterial small subunit ribosomal RNA", at positions 524 to 776 of the family's 1533-position model. The record is from RNAcentral.